This 189-nucleotide non-coding RNA is filed under the name Candidatus Omnitrophota bacterium. RNAcentral's name for it is "Candidatus Omnitrophica bacterium 6S RNA". It matches the Rfam family "6S / SsrS RNA". Rfam says of the family: E. coli 6S RNA was the first non coding RNA to be sequenced, but its function was unknown until recently. It consists of 184 nucleotides that fold into an extended hairpin structure with a large single-stranded internal bulge. The record is from RNAcentral. Lineage: Bacteria; Pseudomonadati; Candidatus Omnitrophota.
UUGUCCCUGCGAUGUUCGUGUUGAAGCGGAAGAUUUUGGACCAACACCAAAAAAAAGGGAGCCUGGCUUAGGCGUGGCUGUAGACCUUGUAAUUUUAAAUAACAAGGGAACAAUAAGCGCCUGACAGGGCACCCACCUGCUUUAAGGGUUCAUUAAUACAUCCUUUCACACGGCAUAAGUGGGGAUUUA